Long non-coding RNA from Rattus norvegicus (Norway rat), 1376 nucleotides. RefSeq lists it as uncharacterized. Lineage: Eukaryota; Metazoa; Chordata; Mammalia; Rodentia; Muridae. The record is from RefSeq and is a predicted model, not a curated record.
CUGAGGGACAAGUUCUGUCCCAGUGCCAGAGCUCAGUCCAACUCUAUAGUUAAUCAUGGGACAUACUUAGAAGAUCAGAGGAAGUCAGGUCACUGAAAGGCAGAAUAAUCAUAUUUUUGAUUUUUGAAAUGUGAUUUAUGGUCAGAGAUAAGCAGAAGAGAAAAAUAGAUAUCUGAAAAUCAUAAAUCCCAACGUAUCACCUUUGGCACAGGAAUUUAAGACCAAGAAGACUUCAGGGUUGUUACAAGGAAUACUUAAAACACUGACUGCAUGAAACAUAGCACAUGAUUUAUGGUUUAGAUGGGAGGUUGUAUUGGUUUGCUAGGGUUACCAUAGCAACAACAUACGAUAAACAAUAUCAUAGUCCUACAGUGGGCUAAAUGCACCACUGCUUUCCUCUGGGCUAAGCUAACACAGAUGAUGUUACCAUAUCAUGAGAUGAACUGUGUCUCCAAGCUUCCAACACUGGAGCAAUUCACUACAUAGUCUAUUUGGGGACAGGUAUUUACAGAAGUACUUAGUCCAUAGGUGUCCCUUUCAAUGCAAAAGAUCAUAAGAUCAUAAGAAUAUCUAGGAUAUAGGCAGCUUAUGGCAGAGCAAAAGCUGGCAGAGAACACUGCCAGAGGGCAGCCAUCUUGAAGCCUAGGAGGACCCUCAAGCAAGCCACCCUGCCACACCCUAAUCUACAUUUCCAGCUUCCAGUGUCAGGGAUUUUAUACCACUCAAUUUAUUUUGUUAUGAUGAUGGUCAAGCAGGAAAAUACAUUUCUUUUUCCUCUAACAAAAUUUACUGAAAAAGGAAACCUGAAUUUUCACUUAUUUGUGAAUUUAAAGCAAGUUCUCUAAGAUGUAUUGACGGAUUAAGAAGGAGCAGUGGUUCUCAACUGUUCUAGUGCUGUGACCCUUCAAUACAGUUCUUCAGGUGAUGGUGAUCCCCAAGGCAACCCCUGUGAAAGGACCACUUGACCGCCAAAGAGUUCAUGACCCACAAGUUUGAGAACUGCUGCGCUAAGGGAUCCUACAGCCUACCUGCUGCCCAGUUCUAACCUGCUAUCGCCCAAUCCUGAUGGAAUGCAGACAUGAGGCUUGCACAUCUCUGUUUGGGCCUUCCUUUAUUUAUGUUUAUAACAUUCUUAGGGACUUGAAUCUGGUCCAGGGUUGCUGGGAAUCCAGGCUUCCAGUGCAUUACUGAGGGUAUGUAGCAAAUUCACCCUCAUGAAAGCUGAGCUCAGCAAAUGGCUAAGCCAAAGCCAUCUAGCCCCAAGCCUCCGAGUGAAUCUCAGCUCAUCCCCCUUGGAAGAUUGCUGGCAAUCAGCAGCCUUUAGAUUUAUGUAAUCCAAGUUAAAUUCAGUAAAAACCAUGCACUUGUUACAUAAA